This 393-nucleotide ribosomal RNA is filed under the name Acanthamoeba sp. MA56. RNAcentral describes it as "bacterial SSU rRNA". It matches the Rfam family "Eukaryotic small subunit ribosomal RNA", at positions 755 to 1102 of the family's 1831-position model. Lineage: Eukaryota; Discosea; Longamoebia; Acanthamoebidae. The record is from RNAcentral.
CCGGGAAAAAUUAGGGUUCAAAGCGGAUUCACCUUUUCCCCCGAUCUUUAGCAUGGGAUAAGGAAUAGGCCCUGUCCCCCCUAUUUUCCAGUGGUUUUGGAGACCGGGGUAAAUGAUUAAUAGGAAAAGUUGGGGCCUUUAUAUUUAAUUGUCAGAGGGGAAAUUCUUGGAUUUAUGAAAGAUUAACUUCUGCGAAAGCAUCUGCCCAAGGAAUGUUUUCAUUAAUCAAGAACGAAAGUUAGGGGAUCGAAGACGAUCAGAUACCGUCGUAGUGUUAACCAUAAACGAUGCCGACCAGCGAUUAGGAGACGUUGAAUACAAAACACCACCCAUCGUGUGUCGGUCGCUCUUGGCUGGAGGGUCCCCCUCCAGCGGGGAUCGCGCGAGCCGGAA